This 492-nucleotide ribosomal RNA is filed under the name uncultured bacterium. Its description in RNAcentral is "partial 16S ribosomal RNA". It matches the Rfam family "Bacterial small subunit ribosomal RNA", at positions 29 to 507 of the family's 1533-position model. The record is from RNAcentral.
AGUGAACGCUGGCGGUAGGCCUAACACAUGCAAGUCGAACGGCAGCACAGUAAGAGCUUGCUCUUACGGGUGGCGAGUGGCGGACGGGUGGGGAAUACAUCGGAAUCUACUUUUUCGUGGGGGGUAACGUAGGGAAACUUACGCUAAUACCGCAUACGACCUACGGGUGAAAGCAGGGGAUCUUCGGACCUUGCGCGAUUGAAUGAGCCGAUGUCGGAUUAGCUAGUUGGCGGGGUAAAGGCCCACCAAGGCGACGAUCCGUAGCUGGUCUGAGAGGAUGAUCAGCCACACUGGAACUGAGACACGGUCCAGACUCCUACGGGAGGCAGCAGUGGGGAAUAUUGGACAAUGGGCGCAAGCCUGAUCCAGCCAUACCGCGUGGGUGAAGAAGGCCUUCGGGUUGUAAAGCCCUUUUGUUGGGAAAGAAAAGCAGCAGGUUAAUACCCCGCUGUUCCGACGGUACCCAAAGAAUAAGCACCGGCUAACUUCGUG